This 26-nucleotide non-coding RNA is filed under the name Mus musculus (house mouse). The record is from RNAcentral. Lineage: Eukaryota; Metazoa; Chordata; Mammalia; Rodentia; Muridae.
UUCAAAACAAGGAGAAAUGACGUACC